RNAcentral lists this ribosomal RNA (492 nucleotides) under uncultured bacterium. Its description in RNAcentral is "partial 16S ribosomal RNA". It matches the Rfam family "Bacterial small subunit ribosomal RNA", at positions 29 to 507 of the family's 1533-position model. The record is from RNAcentral.
AGUGAACGCUAGCGGUAGGCCUAACACAUGCAAGUCGAACGGCAGCACAGUAAGAGCUUGCUCUUACGGGUGGCGAGUGGCGGACGGGUGAGGAAUACAUCGGAAUCUACUUUUUCGUGGGGGAUAACGUAGGGAAACUUACGCUAAUACCGCAUACGACCUACGGGUGAAAGCAGGGGAUCUUCGGACCUUGCGCGAUUGAAUGAGCCGAUGUCGGAUUAGCUAGUUGGCGGGGUAAAGGCCCACCAAGGCGACGAUCCGUAGCUGGUCUGAGAGGAUGAUCAGCCACACUGGAACUGAGACACGGUCCAGACUCCUACGGGAGGCAGCAGUGGGGAAUAUUGGACAAUGGGCGCAAGCCUGAUCCAGCCAUACCGUGUGGGUGAAGAAGGCCUCCGGGUUGUAAAGCCCUUUUGUUGGGAAAGAAAAGCAGCAGGUUAAUACCCCGCUGUUCUGACGGUACCCAAAGAAUAAGCACCGGCUAACUUCGUG